AUACGUAGGUGGCAAGCGUUGUCCGGAAUUAUUGGGCGUAAAGCGCAUGUAGGCGGUUUGGUAAGUCGGUCGUGAAAAUGCGGUGCUUAACGCAGUAUGGCGAUUGAAACUGCUGAACUUGAGUGCAGGAGCGGAAAGGGGAACUCCCAGUGAAGCGGUUAAUUGCGUAGAUAUUGGGAAGAACAACGGUGGCGAAAGCGCCUUUCUGGACUGUGUCUGACGCUCAGAUGCGAAGGCCAGGGUAGCGAACGGGAUUAGAUACCCCGGUAGUCCUGGCCGUAAACGAUGGGUACUAGGUGUGGGAGGUAUCGACUCCUUCCGUGCCGGAGUUAACGCAAUAAGUCCCCCGCCUGGGGAGUACGGCCGCAAGGCUUAAACUCAAAUGAAUGGACGGGG
RNAcentral lists this ribosomal RNA (396 nucleotides) under uncultured bacterium. RNAcentral's name for it is "partial 16S ribosomal RNA". It matches the Rfam family "Bacterial small subunit ribosomal RNA", at positions 523 to 918 of the family's 1533-position model. The record is from RNAcentral.